RNAcentral lists this ribosomal RNA (428 nucleotides) under uncultured bacterium. RNAcentral describes it as "partial 16S ribosomal RNA". It matches the Rfam family "Bacterial small subunit ribosomal RNA", at positions 354 to 796 of the family's 1533-position model. The record is from RNAcentral.
GUAGGGAAUAUUGGACAAUGGGGGCAACCCUGAUCCAGCGACGCCGCGUGAGUGAUGAAGGCCUUCGGGUCGUAAAGCUCUGUUGCAGGGGAAGAACACAAUGACGGUACCCUGCUAGAAAGGAUCGGCUAACUUCGUGCCAGCAGCCGCGGUAAGACGAGGGAUCCUAGCGUUGUUCGGAAUUAUUGGGCGUAAAGCGGGUGCAGGUGGCUUGGUAAGUCAGAUGUGAAAGCCUGGGGCGUAACCCCAGAAGUGCAUUUGAUACUGCUGAGCUUGAGUGCUGGAGAGGCUAUUAGAAUUCCUGGUGUAGUGGUGAAAUACGUAGAUAUCAGGAGGAAUACCGGAGGCGAAGGCGGAUAGCUGGCCAGACACUGACACUCAGACCCGAAAGCGUGGGGAUCAAACAGGAUUAGAAACCCGGGUAGUCC